RNAcentral lists this small nuclear RNA (18 nucleotides) under Arabidopsis thaliana (thale cress). Its description in RNAcentral is "snRNA_06991". The record is from RNAcentral. Lineage: Eukaryota; Viridiplantae; Streptophyta; Magnoliopsida; Brassicales; Brassicaceae.
AUUCGACUUCCCCUGGGG